CAGCAGCCGCGGGAAUACGAAGGGGGCUAGCGUUGCUCGGAAUGACUGGGCGUAAAGGGCGCGUAGGCGGUUUUGACAGUCAGAUGUGAAAUUCCUGGGCUUAACCUGGGGGCUGCAUUUGAGACGUCAAGACUAGAGUGUGAGAGAGGGUUGUGGAAUUCCCAGUGUAGAGGUGAAAUUCGUAGAUAUUGGGAAGAACACCGGUGGCGAAGGCGGCAACCUGGCUCAUUACUGACGCUGAGGCGCGGAAGCGUGGGGAGCAAACAGGAUUAGAUACCCCCGUAGUCCCUGUCUCUUAUAC
RNAcentral lists this ribosomal RNA (301 nucleotides) under uncultured bacterium. Its description in RNAcentral is "partial 16S ribosomal RNA". It matches the Rfam family "Bacterial small subunit ribosomal RNA", at positions 509 to 807 of the family's 1533-position model. The record is from RNAcentral.